Molecule: ribosomal RNA, 468 nt
Filed under: uncultured bacterium
Lineage: Bacteria
Description: partial 16S ribosomal RNA
Rfam family: Bacterial small subunit ribosomal RNA
Source: RNAcentral
GACGAACGCUGGCGGCGUGCUUAACACAUGCAAGUCGAACGGAAAGGCCCUGCUUUUGUGGGGUGCUCGAGUGGCGAACGGGUGAGUAACACGUGAGUAACCUGCCCUUGACUUUGGGAUAACUUCAGGAAACUGGGGCUAAUACCGGAUAGGAGCUCCUGCUGCAUGGUGGGGGUUGGAAAGUUUCGGCGGUUGGGGAUGGACUCGCGGCUUAUCAGCUUGUUGGUGGGGUAGUGGCUUACCAAGGCUUUGACGGGUAGCCGGCCUGGGAGGGUGACCGGCCACAUUGGGACUGAGAUACGGCCCAGACUCCUACGGGAGGCAGCAGUGGGGAAUAUUGCACAAUGGGCGGAAGCCUGAUGCAGCAACGCCGCGUGCGGGAUGACGGCCUUCAGGUUGUAAACCGCUUUCGCCUGUGACGAAGCGUGAGUGACGGUAAUGGGUAAAGAAGCACCGGCUAACUACGUG